GAUGGUUGCUCCCAUCUUGGCUUCAGCGCAGAAGCAGAGGCUUAAUUUAAAGAGGGAGCCAUUUUGAACGGAGGGAAGAUUAGUGCUCAAUGGAGACGAAACUGAAAGGGUGGAAAGAGGAUGGCGUCCAAGAGCCCAAGUGAUUGUCAGAGCAUGCCGGAUCACAGGAUAAAGAACUCUCACAGUAAACCUGUUUGAAGUGUUUUGUCUCGUGUCGUUCCGGAACCUAACACAUUGUCAGUGCUCUCCCUUUAUUCUGCUUAAAUACAACAAGAGCAUGGCAGAGGGGACUCAGCCAGGCUUGGAAACAGAGGACUUGGCGGAGUCAGCGGUGCAGGCUAAAGUGGCUACUCCAGAAGAAAUGCCUAUUCAAAUCUGGGGCCAGAUGUUUGGCCUAAGGAGCGCACAGCACCCCUCCUUCCAUCCCGGCUAGACCAGGAGCUGGUGGACGCCGAACAGGUCAUGCUGCCAAGGACUGAGGGUGUGCGGGAGUGGUGGUUAGGCUCCCUGAGGCAAGGGGAUUAUGGGGCACCCCCUCCUCCACCAGCGCUCACCUCUUCCAGAAGCCACUUUACUCAAUAGUGUGAAAGACGUAUCUCAGAGGAUGAGUGGAGUUACUAAAUCGUUUUAUGGAGCCAAACUCUGGAUGUGUUGUGUGAAAUGUUUGGACCCGCAGGGUUCAAGGGGCUGAACUCUGGGAGAGGGCGGAGAAGAGGUGUGGAACCUCUACUGACACGUAGUACCCAUCCCCCAGAAGAGGAGUUACCCAGAGGCUGGACGCAGCCCUAGAUUGGACGGGGGAAGCCCCACAGACCAGGAGACCUUCAACUACCCAAGACCUUGAACAUCGCAUGGGACCAGACGGGGUGUUGAGGCAAGGCAACUGGGCUCCUCUCCCAUCCUGGCUGUUACCAAAUCAGGGUCAGGGCCCAAUGGGCCAAUGGGAACUAUCGGCUGUAUGGGCCUCAUUCGAUGGUAGCCCAGACAGGGUUGCCCUGAUAGACCAUCUGGAAAAGUAUGGCCAUUUAUAUACUUCCCAGCAGGGUCGAUUUGAUUUAAAUCAAACUGAUUUAAAUCACUAGUCAGUAAGGCUUGAUUUAAAUCAUAGUUUUCUACAUAAAGACUAAUUCUUGCUGGUAUAAUUUUAAUAUGCAAGUAGAUGAAGAUUUUUAGAAUAACAACUUUUCAUAUUAGUUUUUUUAUCCCCAGUUUAAUAGGUUAAUCAUUCAUAUUUGGACAACUUUUCUGUUGUACUUAGGAAGGAGAAAAAUAAUCAUUACCUUAAUAAUAACAAUUUAAAUAGAUUUAUUCAACUGAAACAAUAACAUUACAGCAUAUGUUAUUUGCUUAAACAAACAUCCAUGUUUGUUAACUAAUUUGGCUAAACAAAAUAUAUAUAUUUUAAGAAACUUAGACUGUCAGCCCAGCCUACACAUGAAAAACUUAAAUACUGUCCUCUGUAGCUCACUCGUCAUCUUCAUCUUCUUUGUUCAUAAUCUGGAAAAGAAAAACAAGCUUUCCUGCUUUAUCGGGUCCCAAACGAUUUCUCAAUUUAGAAUGAAUGAGUCCAAAGGAAAAGAAUAUUCUUUCAACGCCUGCAGAAGAAGCUACUGCUGUUAAAAGUGAAAUCAUUACUUGAACAGUCUCUAAAUCCAAGUGCUUAAGUGUCUUCCACCAGUUCACGGGUGUGACUUUCUUUAAAAUAUCUUCAGCAAACAUAUAUUUCUUGAAUGGUUCCCCCUUAGCUUUGAAGUUUAUUAUAGUUGGCAUUACAGAUGGAUGAUUGCUGGAUACCCAUGUCAUAGCUAACUCCUCUUCCUCAGCACUUAAGUUUUGACCCUGAUACUGGAUAUUGACAAUAUUUGCCAAAAAAUGAGCUGGAGACACUACUUGUCCCAUGCUUGUAAUUUAAUUCUGUCCAUGUGUAGUUCUGUUUUUAAGUGUUCACUCAGUUCCUUCUAAAUUUCAACAGCAUCAAGCAAUAAAACAGCUAUUUUUCUGUAUUUUGUUUAAAGCUUCAGAGAUGGGUUUCAGGAUGCUCAGCAUAUGUUCAACAUUUCUCUUAAGCCCAAUGUUGAGGAUUUUGGCCGUGACAGUGCCAUCUAUUUUAUCUCAAUUUUCUUCACAAACUGUCAUCAGAAUAGGCCAGUUCUUGAUAUACUGCUCAAAACAGUCCACCACAGAGUUCCAUCUAACAUCUUGUGGGAGCGUUAGCUUGGUUCCACCCAUCCUUUUCAGAGCUGCUGCAGCAAAAUGAUAGUUACAGAAGUAUUUAGCAAUUUCAACAACAUUAGUCUUUAUUUCUGGAACACUUAAGUCUUUGGCUAAGAGGUGCAGCAAAUGAGCACUGCAAUCAUAUGUUAUUAGCUUUGUAUUCCCUUCCCUUCUUCCCAUCUUGGAUACAUUUGCAGCAUUGUGACCAAACUGCAUACUAGACAUUUGAAUUUUUUGUGUCCAGACCAGACCACCCCAACAAUGCCCUUGAUGUGAUGUCUCGCUGCCUGGAGGCCGUGCAGGUCUGGAUGGGGAGGAACAGGCUCAGACUCAACCCCUCCAAGACUGAGUGGCUGUGGCUUCCGGCGUCCCAAUAUAGUCAGCAGGUGCCAUCGCUGACUAUUGGGGGUGAAUCUUUGCCCCCCACAGAGAGGGCUCGCAAUCUGGGUGUCCUCCUGGAUGCAUGGAUGUCUUUAGAAGAGCAUAUGACGGCCGUGGCCAGGGGGGCCUUUUAUCAGGUUCGCCCGAUUCACCAGUUGCAGCCCUUUCUGGACCGGGACGCCUUGCGCACGGUCACUCACGCCCUUGUCACCUCCCGGCUAGACUAUUGUAAUGCUCUCUACAUGGGGCUCCCCUUGAAGAGCACUCGGAGGCUCCAACUGGUCCAGAAUGCGGCCGCACGGGUGGUUAUGGGCGCAACUCGUUGUGCCCAUGUGACACCCCUCCUGCGCGAGCUGCACUGGCUCCCAGUGGUCUUCCGGGUGCGAUUCAAGGUGUUGGUUACCACCUUUAAAGCGCUCCAUGGCAUAGGACCCGGGUACCUUCGAGACCGACUUCUGCCACCAAUAGCUUCCCACCAGCCAGUUCGUUCCCACAGAGAGGGUCUCCUCAGGGUGCCAUCGGCCAAGUUAUGUCGGCUGGCGACACCCAGGGGGAGGGCCUUCUCUGUGGGACCCCAGCCCUGUGGAAUGAACUGCCCCCGGAAAUACGUAAGAUCCCCGACCUCCGGGUAUUUCGCUGUGCACUGAAGACCCUGUUGUUCCGCCAGGCCGGGCUAUCGACAUGAUAAUUUUAAAUUGGGGUAUUUUAAAUUUCUGGGGUUUUAAAUGGAGCCAAAUUUAUUUAAUAAUUUUAAAUUUUAAAUUGAUGUUUGUCUUGUGUUUUUAAAUAGGCUGUACACCGCCCUGAGUCCUUCGGGAGAACGGCGGUAUAGAAAUAUAAUAAUAAUAAUAAUUAUUAUUAUUAUUAUUAUUAUUAUUAUUAUUAUUAUUAUUAUUAUUAUUAUUCACAUGUUAUUAUAGCUUUUACUGCCACUUCUUGUAUAAGUAUUCUGCUCUGUGUGCAUUUCCUGACGUAUCAAUUGUUUGUGCAAGGAAGACUUUCCCUUCUUCUGUUGUUAUACAAGCACAUACAAUAGGAUCAUUGUGGACAUUACUCCACCCAUCAAUACUUAGGUUAACAAUUCUAUCCUCCAGAGCUGUUGCACAUUGCUCCAUUUCUCUGUCAUACACUUUAUCCAGCAGUUUCCCUGCAACAUCUGCUCUGCUGGGUGGACUGUAUCCUGGUCUCAGUGACUGAACCAUAUUAAUGAAAUGUGAGUUCUCAGUCAGACGGAAAGAAGAGUUCGUUGCAUAAACAAACUGGGCAAUUUUUUCAUCAAUUAACUCUUUUUCUAAUCUGCUAGUUUUUAUCACAAACUUAUCUAUGGUGGUUCCAGGAGGGAAGGGUUUUUUCUUUCUUUUAGGUGAUAGUGAUACGUGGCUGUGGGUGUUUGAUGAUGAUGAUGCUAAUGAAGCACUAUCCUGGAUGGAUAACUCUGAAACUGUAGAACAGGAGGAUGGUGAUCUUGAAGGUGGAUAGUUUCCAGAAUCCAUGAAUUCCCCUAAACAAAAGAGUCAGUGCUGUUAUUUUAUUGUUUAUACAAUUUCUGCUUGUUGUACACAGCACUGCCCCAAAAGGAAUAUUUGCUUUUCUUCAUAACUGUACCAAAUGACAGUAACAUGCAGUAAUAAUAAGAAAUAUAAUUUUGCUCAAACAUGACAGUUCAAGGCAGUCUUUAGAAAUAUGAUUCAAUAAAAAUGUUUACCAACCU
Molecule: non-coding RNA, 4306 nt
Organism: Pantherophis guttatus
Lineage: Eukaryota; Metazoa; Chordata; Lepidosauria; Squamata; Colubridae
Source: RefSeq, a predicted model, not a curated record